GACGAACGCUGGCGGCGUGCCUAAUACAUGCAAGUCGAACGCUUCUUUUCUACCGAGUGCUUGCACUCACUUGAAAAGAGGAGUGGCGGACGGGUGAGUAACACGUGGGUAACCUACCCAUCAGAGGGGGAUAACACUUGGAAACAGGUGCUAAUACCGCAUAAUAGUCGACAUCGCAUGGUGUUGAUUUGAAAGACGCUUUCGGGUGUCACUGAUGGAUGGACCCGCGGUGCAUUAGCUAGUUGGUGAGGUAACGGCUCACCAAGGCCAUGAUGCAUAGCCGACCUGAGAGGGUGAUCGGCCACACUGGGGACUGAGACACGGCCCAGACUCCUACGGGAGCAGCAGUAGGGAAUCUUCGGCAAUGGACGAAAGUCUGACCGAGCAACGCCGCGUGAGUGAAGAAGGUUUACGGAUCGUAAAACUCUGUUGUUAGAGAAGAACAAGUAGGAGAGUAACUGCUCUUACCUUGACGGUAUCUAACCAGAAAGCCACGGC
This 498-nucleotide ribosomal RNA is filed under the name uncultured Enterococcus sp. Its description in RNAcentral is "bacterial SSU rRNA". It matches the Rfam family "Bacterial small subunit ribosomal RNA", at positions 28 to 497 of the family's 1533-position model. Lineage: Bacteria; Bacillati; Bacillota; Bacilli; Lactobacillales; Enterococcaceae. The record is from RNAcentral.